GGUGAAAGAAACUUGGGGUGGGAAAUGUUUUCAUUGUGGGAUAUCAGCAGUUUUGUAUUUCCAGAUUUUUUUUUUAAUUUUUUGUUUUUUAUUCCCUCAAUAACCACUAACCUGUGGCGCUGUCAUUUAAAAAAAGAAAAAAAGGAUAAUCUUUUAUUUGUACAAAUUGGUAACUUCAAUUUCCCAGAUAUCUACAGACAUGUAUUAGUGAAGGCCCAUUUUUUUAAUGUUUUUUUUUUUUUUUUAAAUGGUUUCUAUUUCACAGACAAUGCCUUGUCAUGCUGGAUCGAGCCUCAUUUUACUUUUUUUAUAGUCAACACAGACUUUAUAUUGUAAAACGAAGCCCGGGUUUUCUAGAGUUCGUAUUGCAUUCCUAUGCAGUCGUAUGUUAUAUAUCGCCCUCCACUGGCCAGUUAAUAAUCUGAUUGUUACAUUCCAUUCCAUUGUCCCUCUCCAUCAACCUUUAACUUUAAAUGAUGCACUAACAACUUAUCUUCUGGUUUACAGUCUACAAUACACAGGUCUGAUUCUUUAUAUUGUUUUUAUAAGGGACACUGACUUUUUAUUUCCACUGACUUUUUUUAAUUUUUUUUAAUCUAUGGUAUACCAGACAUCUCAUCAAGAUCUGAGGAACUUAAACCCUUCCAUAUAAAAAAAAUAACUUAUUUUCAGUCUAAAUCUAAAGCAAUAUGUUGUUGUAUAGUUAGUCCUGCAAGUUUUCAUUAAUUGGGAUUGUAUUUACAGUCCCUAAUCGGACAGCUCUAUUACCAACCUGUGAGGGAAGAGCGUUCUAGUCUGACUGGUUUGUUGUAAUUGACUCCAGAAAAAUCUAAUUACAAAGCAACCACCCAUGUCAUCGUAGGACAGUUUGGCCUAAAUAAGGUUUAUAUGGAAGGGUAUAUUUUCCGUUUAAAAGUUGCUCAAGCAUAUUUCUGUAUCUCUGUUAGGAUCAAACUUUUUUUAUUUUUUAUUUCAAUUUUUUAUCCUAAAGGACUUGUGACAUUUCUAGCCUUUCACUACUGAAGACCAUAAGAUAAUAAAGCUGUUUUUACAUAAGGUGAAAUAUUGAUUGACUGAUGCAAUUAAAUAAUUAUUCAAAGAACAACCAACAUGCUUUGCUAAGCUACGUGACUUGUAUACAACUACGGUAAAACAUAUAAGCAGAGUAACUCCUUCCUCUCAUUGAAGUGAUUAUACUGUAUUGAGUCCCAUGGCACGUUCCUCCUAUUCAAC
Pelobates cultripes (western spadefoot toad) is the source of this 1233-nucleotide non-coding RNA. NCBI's taxonomy places the organism in Eukaryota, Metazoa, Chordata, Amphibia, Anura, Pelobatidae. The record is from the annotation of a GenBank genome assembly.